Molecule: ribosomal RNA, 253 nt
Filed under: uncultured bacterium
Lineage: Bacteria
Description: partial 16S ribosomal RNA
Rfam family: Bacterial small subunit ribosomal RNA
Source: RNAcentral
UACGUAGGGUGCAAGCGUUAAUCGGAAUUACUGGGCGUAAAGCGUGCGCAGGCGGUGAUGUAAGACAGUUGUGAAAUCCCCGGGCUCAACCUGGGAACUGCAUCUGUGACUGCAUCGCUGGAGUGCGGCAGAGGGGGAUGGAAUUCCGCGUGUAGCAGUGAAAUGCGUAGAUAUGCGGAGGAACACCGAUGGCGAGGGCAAUCCCCUGGGCCUGCACUGACGCUCAUGCACGAAAGCGUGGGGAGCAAACAGG